AAUCUGAUCAAGAGCUCUAAGUUGGAACCUUUGUUUCAUACCUGAGCCAUUUUGAUCUAGAUUAGCAUUCGGGGACCCUCCGUGCCGUUUGAUAUCCCGUGAUCUUUAGCAUUAUCUGGUUAUUAUACAAGAACUCCAAAGCAAUCUCAGUUGAAAAUGACUCCGAGAUGAUGCAUAGGACUUAUCAAGACAUACUUAGGCGGACCUGUGACUUAGUGACUUAAAACGAGACAAGAACUAGUUAAAUUGUGUUAUGUAUUCUUUGGUUCUUAUUUAAAGCAAUGUAAACUUUCAUGUUUGAUUAAUAAAACGAAACU
RNAcentral lists this long non-coding RNA (317 nucleotides) under Helianthus annuus (common sunflower). RNAcentral describes it as "sRNA HanXRQr2_Chr02g0054231". Lineage: Eukaryota; Viridiplantae; Streptophyta; Magnoliopsida; Asterales; Asteraceae. The record is from RNAcentral.